Molecule: ribosomal RNA, 291 nt
Filed under: uncultured bacterium KC126
Lineage: Bacteria; Pseudomonadati; Pseudomonadota; Gammaproteobacteria
Description: partial 16S rRNA
Rfam family: Bacterial small subunit ribosomal RNA
Source: RNAcentral
GCGCUAUCAGAUGAGCCUAGGUCGGAUUAGCUAGUUGGUGAGGUAAUGGCUCACCAAGGCGACGAUCCGUAACUGGUCUGAGAGGAUGAUCAGUCACACUGGAACUGAGACACGGUCCAGACUCCUACGGGAGGCAGCAGUGGGGAAUAUUGGACAAUGGGCGAAAGCCUGAUCCAGCCAUGCCGCGUGUGUGAAGAAGGUCUUCGGAUUGUAAAGCACUUUAAGUUGGGAGGAAGGGCAGUAAAUUAAUACUUUGCUGUUUUGACGUUACCGACGGAAUAAGCACCGAAU